AAUCUUCCGCAAUGGACGAAAGUCUGACGGAGCGACGCCGCGUGAGUGAUGAAGGUCUUCGGAUCGUAAAACUCUGUUGGUAGGGAAGAACAAGUACGGGCCGAAUAGGUCAGUACCUUGCCGGUACCUAACCAGAAAGCCCCGGCUAACUACGUGCCAGCGGCCGCGGUAACACGUAGGGGGCAAGCGUUUUCCGGAAUUAUUGGGCGUAAAGGGCGCGCAGGCGGUCUUUUAAGUCUGAUGUGAAAUCUCGUAGCUUAACUACGAGCGGUCAUUGGAAACUGGAAGACUUGAGGACAGAAGAGGAGAGUGGAAUUCCACGUGUAGCGGUGAAAUGCGUAGAGAUGUGGAGGAACACCAGUGGCGAAGGCGACUCUCUGGUCUGUAACUGACGCUGAGGCGCGAAAGCGUGGGGAGCGAACA
Molecule: ribosomal RNA, 423 nt
Filed under: uncultured bacterium
Lineage: Bacteria
Description: partial 16S ribosomal RNA
Rfam family: Bacterial small subunit ribosomal RNA
Source: RNAcentral